This 2087-nucleotide unclassified non-coding RNA is filed under the name Orussus abietinus. RNAcentral's name for it is "uracil phosphoribosyltransferase homolog, transcript variant X1". Lineage: Eukaryota; Metazoa; Arthropoda; Insecta; Hymenoptera; Orussidae. The record is from RNAcentral.
AUGGGAAGUGCAGAAGCAGUAACGAGCGUUAAGAAGCUUUUAAUUGAUAAUAUUGAUAAUAACGAUGAGUACGGUCAAAACUUAAAAAUAUUGCCAUCUAAUGAUCAAGUUAAAGAGCUGCAAACCAUUCUACGCGACAAGAACACUACAAGACAUGAUUUCAAGUUUUAUGCUGAUCGUUUGAUUAGACUGGUUAUAGAAGAAAGUUUAAACCAAUUGCCAUUUACAGAAUGUAUUGUAACUACGCCAACAGGUGCCAAGUACAAAGGCUUAAAAUAUCAAAAAGGCAAUUGUGGAGUAUCUAUUGUGAGGAGUGGAGAAGCUAUGGAACAGGGUUUACGAGAUUGCUGUCGUAGCAUACGCAUAGGUAAAAUACUUGUAGAAAGUGAUGUGGAUACACAUGAAGCUAAAGUUGUUUAUGCAAAAUUUCCUGAUGACAUAUCGGAAAGAAAAGUUCUAUUAAUGUAUCCAAUAAUGAGCACCGGAAAUACUGUGAUAAAAGCAAUUGCUGUAUUAAAGGAGCAUAAUGUGCUUGAAGAGAAUAUUAUUCUCUCUAAUUUAUUUUGUACGCCAUUUGCUGCCAGAACUCUUGUCACUGCCUUCCCGAAGAUGAAGAUCUUGACAUCGGAGAUUCAUCAAAUAGCACCAAAUCACUUUGGACAAAAAUACUUUGGCAGUACGUAUUGCGGUGUAAUGGGACCGACAGGCAUAAGUGGAAGCUAUUGUGAUAAAAACAUUAUAUAGCCUUGAAGUUUUAACAAUUAAUGUUAUGAGAAAAAGUAAAGAUGCACGAUGGACAUAUGGCAAAGAAUAUCCUAAUUUUGGAAAAAAUAAUCAGUACCCUGACAGAUCUACAGAUGAGAGAUGAUACAGACUACAAUCAAGUACUACAUCCCACAACUUAAAGUUAUUUACAAAAUUUAUGUUACAUUUUGUUACAAAUGCACUAGAAACAUUUCGCAUACCUCUUAUCCAUGAUACUUCCGGCUUUACUGCUACUUUAAAAGUUGCAUUUGAAAAACAAAUUGAGUAUGAUUAUUUGAUAUUUGCAACAUUCUUGCUCUACCAAGAUGUGCGUAUUCUUUGAAAUAUGACUUCGCCUCCAAAAAUAUAAUCUGUGCAAUUACAAAACUUAUAGCGAUAACUAAAUCUUAUGUCAAUGAUAAUAAAUUGAUCAACAGCUAGGAGCACAAAAAUAUUUUGGUAUUUACAUACUUUACUAGACCAUAACAAGAAUAGAUAUUAAAUGUCUACGAAGUAGUAUAUUGAAUACAUUGGUAAAUUGCAUCGUUUAUCAUAUUCCUGCUGCUUUAUUGAUUAAAAAAUAACAAAGUACUUGAAAUUACUCAUAAACCAGCCUUGUAUUUUCUUCAUAAAAUGAAUAACAUUAUACAUAAGUUCUGUUGAAAUUUAACGUGUACUCGACUGUGUUCCAAAAAGUAUAAGUGAAAUAUCAAAUUCUUUGUAACAGUUGAAUUGUUUUGUAUAAUUUAUUUCAAUGUAUUUAUUAGUAAAUCCAUAUAUGUAUAUAACAAUAAUCCUUAUAUCGCAUACAUAUCAAAUGUAUAAUGAAAUUAUCCAUGUAUUUUCAAAUAUUUCAAUGUAUUAAGAUUUAUUUAAUGUAACAUUAAUAUCUAACAACUAUUAAUUAAUAUUGUACAGCUUCGUGUUCCAGUAAUCAACGUAUUUAAUUUGUAUUUAAUUAUACAUUUGAAUCACUCACAGGGUUUAAAAUGUGUUUCAAAUGAAACACAUAAAGUACUUAAGCUGACAAAAGGUAUUCGUUUCCCCGUCGUACGCGAUAUAAAUAUAUUUAACGUUGUUUCGAAUCAAGCUAAGUAUUUGUCUCAUUUAACGGGAUUUAUUAUACAUUUACAAAAAAAGACAAGAAAUUUAAGUCGCUUUCUGAAUUAAUACAUAUACACAGAAUACCUCUGUGUUUCAAUUUUAGGUCCCUAGCAAGCGAUAAGCGAACGAAUUAUAAAUAUAAUGGGAUACAUAUAAUAUGAAAAUGCAGUGAUUAUAUUUAAAAAUAAAAUACCUUCCUAUGGAGCAUAUAUAUUAGUCAAGAGCAGGAGUAUUGUACG